GGAGUUAGCCGGUGCUUCUUCUGCGAGUAACGUCACAGAUGUAAGGUAUUAACUUACACCCUUUCCUCCUCGCUGAAAGUGCUUUACAACCCGAAGGCCUUCUUCACACACGCGGCAUGGCUGCAUCAGGGUUUCCCCCAUUGUGCAAUAUUCCCCACUGCUGCCUCCCGUAGGAGUCUGGGCCGUGUCUCAGUCCCAGUGUGGCUGAUCAUCCUCUCAGACCAGCUAGGGAUCGUCGCCUAGGUGAGCCUUUACCUCACCUACUAGCUAAUCCCACCUGGGCUUAUCCAUCAGCGCAAGGCCCGAAGGUCCCCUGCUUUCCCCCGUAGGGCGUAUGCGGUAUUAGCAGUCGUUUCCAACUGUUAUCCCCACAAAUGGGCAAAUUCCCAGGCAUUACUCACCCGUCCGCCGCUCGUCAUCUUCAAAGCAAGCUUUGAAAUGUUACCGCUCGACUUGCAUGUGUUAGGCCUGCCGCCAGUCGUACAUCUGACGCGAGACUACAACUCGUCGA
RNAcentral lists this ribosomal RNA (511 nucleotides) under uncultured bacterium. Its description in RNAcentral is "partial 16S ribosomal RNA". The record is from RNAcentral.